AAGGUACCAUCAUGCUGUGGUACUGCUGCACCAAGAUACCACCGCACCAAGGUACCACCAUACCCUGGUAUCACCACACCAAGAUACCACUGCACCAUGGAACCACCACACCAAGGUACCGUCAUGCCGUGGUACUGCUGCACCAAGGUACCACCGCACCAAGGCACCACCAUACCAUGGUACCACUGCACCAAGGUACCGCCACACCAAGGUACCACCACGCCCUGGUAUCACUACACCAAGAUACCACUGCGCCAUGGAACCACCGCGCCAAGGUACCACCAUGCCAUGGUACCACCGCACCAAGGUACCGCCAUGCCAUGGUACUGCCACACCAAGGUACCACCAUACCAUGGUACCGCUGCACCAAGGUACCGCCAUGCCAUGGUACCGCUGCACCAAGGUACCGCUGCACCAAGGUACCACCAUACCAUGGUACUGCCGCGCCAAGGUACCACCACACCAAGGUACCACUGUGGCACAGUGCAGCUGUGCCAAGGUACCACCGUGCUAUGGUACCACCGUGCCACAGUACCGCCGCACCAAGGUUCAGCCGCACCGAGCUACAGCCAUGCCGAGGUACCGCCGCACCGCAGUACCACCGCACYGCUGCCACGCCACAGUACCGCUACGCAACGGUGCCACCACACCAAGGAACCACCGCGCCACUGCACCGCCGUGCCACCGUCACGCCAGCGUGGCACACGCAGGGACACACGGACACACACGGGGGGGGACGACACACACACGGGGGGACACAGGGGUGCGGGGACAUGGGGACGUGUGGGGGGGGGGGACACCCACGGGGCCAGGUCUGCUCUUCCUCGUCCCUGUCCCCAUCUCCCAUGUCCUUGUCCCCAGUGUCCCCAUCCCUGUUGUCCCUGUUCCUGUGUCCAGCUCCCCAGGGCUCCUGUCCUUGUCCCAGUGUCCCUGUCCCCAGGGUCACUGUCCCCGUCCUGAUGUCCCCGUCCCUGUGCCCGGAUGCCCAAGGUCCCUGUCCUUGUCCUGGC
Molecule: long non-coding RNA, 1010 nt
Filed under: Apteryx haastii (Great spotted kiwi)
Lineage: Eukaryota; Metazoa; Chordata; Aves; Apterygiformes; Apterygidae
Description: lncRNA (ENSAHAG00000018350.1)
Source: RNAcentral